CCUACGGGUGGCAGCAGUGAGGAAUAUUGGUCAAUGGACGCAAGUCUGAACCAGCGAUGCCGCGUGCAGGAAGACGGCUCUAUGAGUUGUAAACUGCUUUUGUACGAGGGUAAACGCAGAUACGCGUAUCUUUCUGAAAGUAUCGUACGAAUAAGGAUCGGCUAACUCCGUGCUAUCAGACCCGGUAAUCCGGAGGAUUCAAGCGUUAUCCGGUUUUAUUGGGUUUAAAGGGUGCGUAGGCGGUCGGAUAAGUUAGAGGUGAAAUCCCGAGGCUCAACUUCGGACUUGCCUCUGAUACUGUUAGACUAGAGAGUAGUUGAGGUAGGCGGAAUGUAUGGUGUAGCGGUGAAAUGCUUAGAGAUCAUACAGAACACCGAUUGCGAAGGCAGCUUACCAAGCUAAUUCUGACGUUGAGGGACGAAAGCGUGGGGAGCAAACAGGAUUAGAUACCCUUGUAGUC
Molecule: ribosomal RNA, 460 nt
Filed under: uncultured bacterium
Lineage: Bacteria
Description: partial 16S ribosomal RNA
Rfam family: Bacterial small subunit ribosomal RNA
Source: RNAcentral